RNAcentral lists this ribosomal RNA (465 nucleotides) under uncultured beta proteobacterium. RNAcentral's name for it is "bacterial SSU rRNA". It matches the Rfam family "Bacterial small subunit ribosomal RNA", at positions 923 to 1392 of the family's 1533-position model. The record is from RNAcentral. Lineage: Bacteria; Pseudomonadati; Pseudomonadota; Betaproteobacteria.
GCACAAGCGGUGGAUGAUGUGGUUUAAUUCGAUGCAACGCGAAAAACCUUGCCUACCCUUGACAUGCCAGAGAUCCUGCAGAGAUGUGGGAGUGCUCGAAAGAGAAUCUGGGCACAGGUGCUGCAUGGCUGUCGUCAGCUCGUGUCGUGAGAUGUUGGGUUAAGUCCCGCAACGAGCGCAACCCUUGUCAUUAGUUGCUACGAAAGGGCACUCUAAUGAGACUGCCGGUGACAAACCGGAGGAAGGUGGGGAUGACGUCAAGUCCUCAUGGCCCUUAUGGGUAGGGCUACACACGUCAUACAAUGGUCGGUACAGAGGGCUGCCAACCCGCGAGGGGGAGCUAAUCCCAGAAAACCGAUCGUAGUCCGGAUUGCAGUCUGCAACUCGACUGCAUGAAGUCGGAAUCGCUAGUAAUCGCGGAUCAGCUUGCCGCGGUGAAUACGUUCCCGGGUCUUGUACACACCG